GGUGGGGGCUGCAGCCGGGUGCUUCCUCAGGCUCAGGGCUGCGUCCCCCCAACGGCUCCACGGCCGCGUUCCGCUCCCCGCAGCGCUCUGCCGGCGUCCGGGGUGUCCGUUCCUCUCAGCCGUCACUCUCCGGUUGAUCAGAUACGAGAGCAGAGACCACUUUCUGAGGCCAUUCUGUAGGCAAGUUUGUACUAGAACCACUAGGGGAGGGAAAUCAUAAUACGGCUGAACAGACCUUCAUUUAGACAGUGGAUUUCUGGAAUCACAAAGCUUCAUCAAAAAUAUUGUGCAGCUUUUAAACUGCAACAAGAAUUAUGCAUUUCCCUGAGAAGGCAUCUCAGAAAGGAAUGGACUUGGAUGUGUUCAGGAGGAAGAGAACACAGCAGGUGUACUUGGUUUUGGAUUCUGGUGAGUCCUUCAAGAGAUCUGCAAUUAAAGCCCUUUUGUAAAUCCUACAUGAGUGAGGGUCUGAGGGAGCAGGGGCUAAAUGCUUCUUAAUGAACUGGGACGAAGCAUUCUAUGAAGUACUUAGGAGAUCCAAAAUAACCAUUUCUUAAGUAACAACAUCAAAGUUGUCCCAGCCUGAAAAGACAGACCAACAUUCAGGUUGGACUUGGAAGAAGGCCCUGUCCUGCCCUCAUCUUGACAUUGUUUGCAUGCUGCUCAGCUUACUCAUGACCAUUCUGUCAGCACAGUAAGAAACCCUGCCCAUGUGCUGUUUGCUACCAUGGCUGUAGGAGCACUAUGAAAGACAAAUAAAUGCCACUUUAUAAUUUCAGAAAAAGAGAAGACUUGAGGCUACUUUCACG
This is a long non-coding RNA of Lagopus leucura (white-tailed ptarmigan), 809 nucleotides long. RefSeq lists it as uncharacterized. The record is from RefSeq and is a predicted model, not a curated record. The transcript is spliced from 7 exons. NCBI's taxonomy places the organism in Eukaryota, Metazoa, Chordata, Aves, Galliformes, Phasianidae.